UACGUAGGGUGCAAGCGUUGUCCGGAAUUAUUGGGCGUAAAGAGCUCGUAGGCGGUUCGUCGCGUCGGCUGUGAAAACCCGGGGCUCAACCCCGGGCCUGCAGUCGAUACGGGCAGACUAGAGUGCGGUAGGGGAGACUGGAAUUCCUGGUGUAGCGGUGAAAUGCGCAGAUAUCAGGAGGAACACCGGUGGCGAAGGCGGUUCUCUGGGCAUUACCUGACGCUGAGGAGCGAAAGUGUGGGGAGCGAACAGG
RNAcentral lists this ribosomal RNA (253 nucleotides) under uncultured bacterium. RNAcentral describes it as "partial 16S ribosomal RNA". It matches the Rfam family "Bacterial small subunit ribosomal RNA", at positions 524 to 776 of the family's 1533-position model. The record is from RNAcentral.